Sapajus apella (tufted capuchin) is the source of this 3333-nucleotide long non-coding RNA. RefSeq lists it as uncharacterized. The record is from RefSeq and is a predicted model, not a curated record. The transcript has 2 exons. NCBI's taxonomy places the organism in Eukaryota, Metazoa, Chordata, Mammalia, Primates, Cebidae.
CUUCUUCUUCAUCUUCUUCUUCUUCUUCUUUUUAAAAAAUAUAUCCAGCCUCAGGUAUUCCUUAACAACACACUUGGGCUAAGACACAGGGUCUUAGGUAUAGCAGGCAUCUGAGCCAAGCUGGAACUUAGAUCUUAACUGUUAAUGUAGGAUGAUUUGUAUUGAACCAUUAAUUUUACACUGCCUUUCAAUGUUGGUGUCAGAGUUUAAGUAAGGUUAUUUAAAAAAUGCAGCAAGUUUACUUUUUUUCCAGUGAACAGCAACUACUUAAUGAUCUUAAAACUUUCUUCUUACAAUAUACUUUACAAUAUUUUCUGUUGGAUUUAUUACCUAUGUGCAAAUCCAUUAGUUGAAGGGCCAAAGAAUAAAGAUAAUUUAUGAAUUAUGAAUAGGUAUUUUGAAAUAGUCAUGGAGUUACCAUUUGGUAUAACUUAAUUGUGAAAAUUAUAGAAGAGAUCUAGAUAUAGUUUAUGAACUCCUAAAGAGACAUUAAAAGUUAUUCAAAUACUUAUGUAAAGAUGAACCAAGGUAGAGAUGGUUGUGAAUUGCUGAUCUGCUAUAUCUUACAGUUAUGUAACUUGACUUGUUUCAAAAUUAUUGAAGUUUUAAGUGUAUGUAUUCUACUGGUUAAUAAGUAAACAUAUUCAGGUUCUGAAUGUAGACAGAAUAUGUAAAUAUGGAAAAGUACAUUUGUUAGAAUACAAACAAGAAUGAAAAUUGAGUACAGAAUGAAAACCUUUUUAAAUUGUAUCACUCCAUAUAUUAUUUCUUAGCCUAUUUUUUUUCUUCCUCAGAAACGAAUCUACAUUUUCUACUUUAAUGCUAUUUUUAAAUGACUAAAAAUUACUAAAUUUAUUGGGUAGUAGCUAUCCUGCCCCAAUUGUCCUUUAUCAGUUUGCCUGCGUUUGAAACUUAGAUUCCAUUUAAUUUUCCAUUCUUGUUCCUACAGAGCUUCUCUCAUACGUGGUUUAAUUCAUUCUAUUAAUGGACUUUAGGAGAAGGAAACACCAUCCAAUUAUAAAGUUCUAUAUUAUUUGAUGCUUUUUAAAACCUAGAUUUUCUGCUUUAUGCAUUUUUCUCUAUUUUUAAAGUAUUUAUACUUUCCUUUUUGGCAGCAAAGUUGAUGGAAGUUGGAAGUACUCUGGAAGGAUUAAAAAUGUUCUCAAAAAUCUCCCUCAUAAAUUAGAUUUUUAAGUUCUUAGUCCAGGAUUCUGUGAGAAUAGGCAAGAUUUUCAGCUGCCAAUGACUUUUACCAGAUACCUGGCGCUUGAUUUAGGACAACUGGGAAAAAUCAUUUAUUGUCAUGAAAAUAAAUAUUUUGAAGGGUGAAGAAAGUGGGAAAUUAAAUGUACAUUUUUUGAAUACCUUCUCUUGGUCAGGCACUGUAUGCUAAGUACUUUCACACAGUUUUCACAACCGUGUAAGGAGAUAGAAUCCUAUCAAACAGAUUAAAUUCAUUCCCCAAGACUAUUUAGUUUAUGGGCAUUGCAAAUGGAAUCUGAACCUAGGAUCUUUGAGUCCAUGCUCUUUUUAGUACCUAUGAAUCUUCUCCUUUGGUAGAUGUAAAAAAUAGAUUAAUGCUCUUUUUCGUUUCUCAUAUUUUUGUGGUAACUGUUACUUCUUCGGGGCAGUCUUAACCUAAGACUUGCCAGACACUCUACUAAACACCCUUCCUUGAAAUUCCUUCAUAAUAUUAUCUCCCAUAUGAAACUAUGAACUCCUUGAAGGCAGGACCACACCUGUUUUUGCUCAUCAUUUUAUUCCCAGUGUCCAACACAUAGAAGGCAAUAUCUGUUGAAUAGGUAGUAUGCACUAACACACAGACCACAAACGUAGUAUGGGAAAUAUACUCUUAGUGAAGAUUUUGUAGUGUGGAGAAUUAUGCAAAUCUAAAAUUGUUUGAACUAUUGAGUAGGGAAAGGGCCAGGUAACUUGUUCUUCACAAUUUAGGCAAACUCCAGUUGGUUUCUCUGUCUUUUUGAUCCAUUGCCCACAUUGCUGUUGGAGCUUUCUAAAACACACAUCUUUAAAAAUAUUCUAUGGCUCGUUUGUAUAUUGGAACUCCUUAGGCAACUUGCAAGGAAGCCCUUCUGAGUCAAAAAUCACCUUUUCAGCCUAUUUCCCAGUAUUCUCCUUUAUGCUUUGGCCAUGGGUAUUUCAUAUGUCUGAGAGAUGCCAUGCCCUAUCCUCAUACGAUCUAUAUUUUUUAAAAUCUCAUUUCUUCAAGGCUUAGCAUUAUCUGUAAUCUUCCGAGUGACAUCUUCCUCCAAUUUUCUAAGCAGUUACUUGCUUUUUUGUUCCAAUUGCACUUUAUACGCUUUAUGUAUCUUGUAGUUUCCUGACCCCUCCUAUUAUUCGUUCUGUCUAUCUCCCUCAUUUGACCUAACACUGAAGAUAGGCCAUGUUCCUCAAUUUUAUUUUCUCACUUUUGCUCUCAAACAAAAUAACAGAAAAUAAAAACAAAAGCUGGCAUGAUGCCUGGUACAGGUAUGUUUAGAGUGGAUUCAUAUAACUGAUAGAUCUGACUUUCUCAGCAUCAAUGGUUGGUGUGCUGCUUUUCCUGAAACUUACAAAUUGAGGAGUUGGAGCUAGAAAGUGAGAAGAAUUAGCUCAAGACAUAAGAAUAUGGAAACUGUGAGCACAUUGAGGGUAAGGGGAUUCAUGUGCUUUGUACUCUCAAUGCCUGACAUAGGAGAAGCUCUAAUCAUGAAUGAAUUGAACUGGAGAUGACCUCACAACAUGUGCUCAGGCGGAUUACAGUAUAGGAGCUCAUCCCUAAUUCACAUGAAUCCAUGAUUUGGCUAAGAAGAUUGAAAUCCUGAGAAACAAUUUUCUGAAGAAAUGAAAUUGUAUGCCCUCCUGAACUCUUUGGAGAAAAUAGCUUCUCUGUUUUCUCAGAAUAUGAAACAGUAAAACAGUACACAUAAACAGCCAGCCUUGCCACGCCAUGUCACAGUUCUAUUUGUAGCAUUUGAAAAAAAUGACAUUUAAAAAGAUUUUCUGGGACUUUACUUUUUUAUUUACUUAAGAACUAACUGGCACAAAUAAUAUUUGCGCAAUCUUGCUGAUGUAAGAUUUUUCAAAUCAGAUGUAUUUAUUUUCUGGGAAACUCGGGCAAUUGCUUUGAAGCCUUUGUGUUGGAUAACUUCACAGAGCAUAUGUGAAAAGGAGAUUUUGGAAGUGCUCUUCAUAGUGGUAACAUUUCUGAAAAUAUUAAGAGCAUCCUCCAAUGUCCUUAUCUCCUGGGCACUGGGAGUAUCUUCAGUAGACUCAUUGGUCUCAUAGGGUGGGCAAAAGAAUGUGGAGGAUGAAAACUUAUUAAAAGGCAAAAAA